GGAUUGUAGCUCAGCGGUGGAGUGCUAGCCUGGUGUGUGUGGGGCUCUGGGUUCGAUCCUCGGCACCA
Molecule: transfer RNA, 68 nt
Filed under: Marmota monax (woodchuck)
Lineage: Eukaryota; Metazoa; Chordata; Mammalia; Rodentia; Sciuridae
Description: tRNA.Thr
Source: RNAcentral